UCCAAAUAACGUAAUAGUUUAAUGUCCAUUUUAUUGAAUUGAGUUUGAAAGUAUUCAACUGAAGACAAUUAUUCAGUACCGGUACUGAGUUUCUUCAUUAUGUCUCAGUGGUGUGUUGGAUAGAUUUGCAGGUACCUUCGAAUCCGCGUAUGCCAGAUGGUUAAUCGUGGAGAUCAAACAAACUCUACAAAAUACGUCUGACAUAAUAAUCGAUUAUUAUAUAUACAUCAAAAUAGAUCAAAUAACUCGUACAUUUCAAAAUAAAAGUACAUACAACUUUAUAAAAUUGAAAUACCCAUUUAAUAAUGGCGACCAGCAUUGAUUUUUAUGCUCUCUGACGUCCUCCAUCUUAACAUCAUCACAUUCAUGCAUGUGUCGACCCAAGCUGCACAUCACAUUC
Non-coding RNA from Biomphalaria pfeifferi, 400 nucleotides. The record is from the annotation of a GenBank genome assembly. NCBI's taxonomy places the organism in Eukaryota, Metazoa, Mollusca, Gastropoda, Planorbidae.